This 550-nucleotide ribosomal RNA is filed under the name bacterium BaA1-32. Its description in RNAcentral is "bacterial SSU rRNA". It matches the Rfam family "Bacterial small subunit ribosomal RNA", at positions 85 to 631 of the family's 1533-position model. The record is from RNAcentral.
UUGCCGGCGAGCGGCGGACGGGUGAGUAAUGCCUGGGGAUCUGCCCAGUCGAGGGGGAUAACUACUGGAAACGGUAGCUAAUACCGCAUACGCCCUACGGGGGAAAGCAGGGGACCUUCGGGCCUUGCGCGAUUGGAUGAACCCAGGUGGGAUUAGCUAGUUGGUGAGGUAAUGGCUCACCAAGGCGACGAUCCCUAGCUGGUCUGAGAGGAUGAUCAGCCACACUGGAACUGACACACGGUCCACACUCCUACGGGAGGCAGCAGUGGGGAAUAUUGCACAAUGGGGGAAACCCUGAUGCAGCCAUGCCGCGUGUGUGAAGAAGGCCUUCGGGUUGUAAAGCACUUUCAGCGAGGAGGAAAGGUUGGUAGCUAAUAACUGCCAGCUGUGACGUUACUCGCAGAAGAAGCACCGGCUAACUCCGUGCCAGCAGCCGCGGUAAUACGGAGGGUGCAAGCGUUUAUCGGAAUUACUGGGCGUAAAGCGCACGCAGGCGGUUGGAUAAGUUAGAUGUGAAAGCCCCGGGCUCAACCUGGGAAUUGCAUUUAAA